This 487-nucleotide ribosomal RNA is filed under the name uncultured Gammaproteobacteria bacterium. Its description in RNAcentral is "bacterial SSU rRNA". It matches the Rfam family "Bacterial small subunit ribosomal RNA", at positions 30 to 504 of the family's 1533-position model. Lineage: Bacteria; Pseudomonadati; Pseudomonadota; Gammaproteobacteria. The record is from RNAcentral.
AUUGAACGCUGGCGGCAGGCCUAACACAUGCAAGUCGAGCGGCAGCGGAAAGUAGCUUGCUACUUUGCCGGCGAGCGGCGGACGGGUGAGUAAUGUCUGGGAAACUGCCUGAUGGAGGGGGAUAACUACUGGAAACGGUAGCUAAUACCGCAUAAUGUCGCAAGACCAAAGAGGGGGACCUUCGGGCCUCUUGCCAUCAGAUGUGCCCAGAUGGGAUUAGCUAGUAGGUGGGGUAAUGGCUCACCUAGGCGACGAUCCCUAGCUGGUCUGAGAGGAUGACCAGCCACACUGGAACUGAGACACGGUCCAGACUCCUACGGGAGGCAGCAGUGGGGAAUAUUGCACAAUGGGCGCAAGCCUGAUGCAGCCAUGCCGCGUGUAUGAAGAAGGCCUUCGGGUUGUAAAGUACUUUCAGCGAGGAGGAAGGCAUCAAGGUUAAUAACCUUGGUGAUUGACGUUACUCGCAGAAGAAGCACCGGCUAACUCC